GAUGAAGAACGUAGCGAAAUGCGAUAAGUAGUGUGAAUUGCAGAAUUCCGUGAAUCAUCGAAUCUUUGAACGCACAUUGCGCCCGCCGGUAUUCCGGCGGGCAUGCCUGUCCGAGCGUCAUUUCACCACUCAAGCCCAGCUUGGUGUUGGGGCACCCGGCCGCCUGGCGGCCGGGGCCCCCAAGUACAUCGGCGGUCCCGCUGGGGGCACCGAGCGCAGUAGCUCGCGGUAAAACGCGCCCUCGCUCGGCGGCCUCUUCGGGCUUCCAGCCGCUAAACCCGCGUCCACCGACGCCCUUUCGAGUUGACCUCGGAUCAGGUAGGAAUACCCGCUGAACUUAAGCAUAUCAAUAAGCGGAGGA
RNAcentral lists this unclassified non-coding RNA (361 nucleotides) under soil metagenome. RNAcentral's name for it is "partial contains 5.8S ribosomal RNA, internal transcribed spacer 2, and large subunit ribosomal RNA". The stretch from base 1 to 120 matches the Rfam family "5.8S ribosomal RNA", at positions 35 to 154 of the family's 154-position model. The record is from RNAcentral.